This 326-nucleotide long non-coding RNA is filed under the name Fukomys damarensis (Damara mole-rat). RNAcentral describes it as "lncRNA (ENSFDAG00000024963.1)". The record is from RNAcentral. Lineage: Eukaryota; Metazoa; Chordata; Mammalia; Rodentia; Bathyergidae.
CAGGAUCACAAUGUUGUGGCUGCAUUUAGAUUAGGAACACAGGUCUUCUGGCUUUUGUAAUUGUGGGCUUUCCUGAUACCACUGCAAGUGAAGACUCCUUGAUUGUGCAAGGUGCUUGGGUUCUAAACAAUCACAGGAAGUGAGGAGAGGGCUCUUGGUUGACCUGGGACCAGUCUCUCCGAUGUCCCCUCUCCUUUGACACAUUGGCUCUCACAGUUGGCCUUGCACAUGCUAUACCAGUGCUCUACCACGAACAAGUCUGAGGCCAGCACAAGCAACAAAUUAUGACCCUCAUCUCCAGAAAAUAAACAACUGUCAACCGAACG